Marmota monax (woodchuck) is the source of this 1372-nucleotide long non-coding RNA. RefSeq lists it as uncharacterized. The transcript is spliced from 3 exons. NCBI's taxonomy places the organism in Eukaryota, Metazoa, Chordata, Mammalia, Rodentia, Sciuridae. The record is from RefSeq and is a predicted model, not a curated record.
AAAUAUCCACCGAGGAAUACCAUGAGAGCUGCCAGAGAGGCUGCCGUGCUGUUCUCUGAGAAGCCUGUUUCAAAAUGUUGAAUGUUUCUUAAAUGAGAAGUCUUUGGGAAUUGGGCAGCCAGAGCCUUCACAACUAAUGGCCUUCCCAGCACCUCUGCAAAACAGAUGUCUUCCACCAUGUUGUCCUGUUUCACCUUGAGCCCCAGGACUGGAGCCAGCCUUCCGUGGACUAAGAUCUCUGAAACUCGUCAUCCCAGGACUGCUCUUCACCAUGGUGCUGGGAAAACCCUUUCCCAUUUUGCCCUCUUGGAAAUCCUGUUUUCUGGACCACAAGCCUCUUUUUUCUUGGUUUAUUCCCUUCUUUCCUUGGAUCUCACACUCUAGUGGGCCUAAGAAGGGGGAUUGAGGGUAAAUUGCUUGAUUCUUACUGUUAUAGUUAAAGCUUCAUCCCCGGGUUUCAUAAAUUGACUUCCAGACCACUCACGUAUAAUUGAAUCAAGCCUUUAUUGAAGCACACCGGUGGCGGCUGACCAGAACAUAAAGCUGUUCCCCUGAUCAGCCCCGAACAAUUGCAAGGGCGCUCUUUAUAAGUCUGAAAACCGCAAAAGGGAUGUUCGGGGGGGCUAGCCAAUGCAAGCAAGCCAGGUUACAGAAGCAGGACAGUGCAGUCAAGCGGAGGGAAGCCUAACCAAUCACAGUUAGCCCAGUCACCCCAGUUACAGAAACAAUGCUCCAUUAGGUAGUUCCGUGUUCUUAAAGGUUUCUAUAGCAAAAGGAAAAGAACAUCUUGCUCCAGUCAUGACUCUUCUACUUGGCAUGGUUGUUUUACAGGAUGAAGUCACAAAACAAAAUGGAGUCACAUUUGCUCCUACUAUCACAUUACAAGUCUCAUCAUAACAGACUCUACUUUUUUACAUAGCUGAGAAAAAUCACCUGGGAAAAAUCUUCCCUCAGCAUUUUUAAGGAAUUAUUCUAUCAUUUUCUAGCUUUCAGUGCUAUUGUUGAAACAUCCAAUGUUAUUUUAAUUUCUGAUUUUUUUUUUUUUGGUGGUGGUGCUGAGGUUUGAACCCAGGGCCUCAUGCAUUCCAGGCAAAUGUUCUACCAUUGAGCCACAUCCCCAGUCCCACAGAUUCUUUUUUUCCCUCUGUAUUUAUUGCCCCCAAAUGAUGACCUUUUGUUUAAUGUAUUAAAUCUUUUCUUCUGCACAAUCAUGUCCUUAAAUUCUGAGAAUAUUUUUGAAUAGCUUAUCUGAUUAAUUUCCACUCCUGAAUUAUUGUAAUUGUGGGCUGGAACUCUUAAUUUUUAAAUAAUUUUUUUAUUGAUUUACAUCUAUUCAUUUUCUUUUAUAAAUUUUAAUUUCUUCUACUUUACU